This 498-nucleotide ribosomal RNA is filed under the name uncultured bacterium. RNAcentral describes it as "partial 16S ribosomal RNA". It matches the Rfam family "Bacterial small subunit ribosomal RNA", at positions 28 to 507 of the family's 1533-position model. The record is from RNAcentral.
GACGAACGCUGGCGGCGUGCCUAAUACAUGCAAGUCGAACGAGAGCGACCGGUGCUUGCCCUGGUCAAUCUAGUGGCGAACGGGUGAGUAACACGUGGGUAACCUGCCCAUCAGAAGGGGAUAACAUCCGGAAACGGAUGCUAAAACCGCAUAGGUCUUCGAACCGCAUGGUUUGAAGAGGAAAAGAGGCGCAAGCUUCUGCUGAUGGAUGGACCCGCGGUGCAUUAGCUAGUUGGUGAGGUAACGGCUCACCAAGGCCGUGAUGCAUAGCCGACCUGAGAGGGUGAUCGGCCACAUUGGGACUGAGACACGGCCCAAACUCCUACGGGAGGCAGCAGUAGGGAAUCUUCCGCAAUGGACGCAAGUCUGACGGAGCAACGCCGCGUGAGUGAAGAAGGUUUUCGGAUCGUAAAACUCUGUUGUUAGAGAAGAACAAGUGCUAGAGUAACUGUUAGCGCCUUGACGGUAUCUAACCAGAAAGCCACGGCUAACUACGUG